RNAcentral lists this transfer RNA (75 nucleotides) under Saccoglossus kowalevskii. RNAcentral describes it as "tRNA-Asn". It matches the Rfam family "tRNA". Rfam says of the family: Transfer RNA (tRNA) molecules are approximately 80 nucleotides in length. Their secondary structure includes four short double-helical elements and three loops (D, anti-codon, and T loops). The record is from RNAcentral. Lineage: Eukaryota; Metazoa; Hemichordata; Enteropneusta; Harrimaniidae.
GUCUCUGUGGCGCAUUUGGUUAGCGCGUUCGGCUGUUAACCGAAAGGUUUGGUGAUUCAAGCCCACCCAGGGACG